GCCGGGUGCAGUGGCAUGUGCCUGUAAUCCAAGUCACUGGGAGGCUGAGAUGGUGGAUCAAGUGAGCUGAGGAGCUCUGGGCUGCAGCACGCUAUGUCGAACGGGUGUCCACGCUAAGUUCGGUAUCGAUAUGGUGUUCCUGGGGGAGCCUGGGACCACCAGGUUGUCUAAGGAGGGGUGAACCGGCCCAGGUCGGAAACGAAGCAGGUCAAAUCCCCCGUGCUGUCCAGUAGUGGGAUAAUACCUUUGAGUAGAUGCUGCAGUGCAGCCUUGGCAAAACAUCGAGACCUAAUCUUUU
This 298-nucleotide signal recognition particle RNA is filed under the name Oncorhynchus mykiss (rainbow trout). RNAcentral describes it as "Metazoan signal recognition particle RNA (ENSOMYG00000069686.1)". It matches the Rfam family "Metazoan signal recognition particle RNA". From Rfam's summary of the family: The signal recognition particle (SRP) is a universally conserved ribonucleoprotein. It is involved in the co-translational targeting of proteins to membranes. Lineage: Eukaryota; Metazoa; Chordata; Actinopteri; Salmoniformes; Salmonidae. The record is from RNAcentral.